AGUGAACGCUGGCGGCAGGCCUAACACAUGCAAGUCGAGCGGCAGCGGGUUCCCGCGAGGGGAUGCCGGCGAGCGGCGGACGGGUGAGGAACACAUCGGAAUCUGCCUGGUUGUGGGGGAUAACGUAGGGAAACUUACGCUAAUACCGCACGCGACCCUGAGUCGACGGACUGGGGGUGAAAGUGAGGGACCUUCGGGCCGUCACGCGACCAGAUGAGCCGAUGUCGGAUUAGCUAGUUGGCGGGGUAACGGCCCGCCAAGGCGACGAUCCGUAGCUGGUCUGAGAGGAUGAUCAGCCACACUGGGACUGAGACACCGGCCCAGACUCCUACGGGAGGCAGCAGUGGGAAUCUUGGACAAUGGCGCAAGCCUGAUCCAGCCAUGCCGCGU
RNAcentral lists this ribosomal RNA (390 nucleotides) under uncultured bacterium. Its description in RNAcentral is "bacterial SSU rRNA". It matches the Rfam family "Bacterial small subunit ribosomal RNA", at positions 30 to 402 of the family's 1533-position model. The record is from RNAcentral.